GCCGGAGCCAGCCUCAAGCGGAUCCUCGAUGAACUGCAGUUUUUAACACUUCCGCAUUGGACUCAUAUUUUUAGACCGGAGGUUGGCGCUUGCCAAAAACCCAGGAAUCUCUUGCUAGCUUGCUAACUUGGAAGACUGGGCCUGUCCACAAUAAUGGUAUCUGAAGAAUAUUGGCAAUCAGAUGUCUCCACAGCUAUAGCUUGACCUGUGCUCAGGUGUAUCUCCAGGGAUGGUACAAACUGUCACAUCCCAUCUCAUCACAAUCCAUUGGCCCAUAUGUUCCUGGGGCAGGUGUCCUCCUCUUGGUCACCUUUGUGUCCCGUGACCCCCCUCCGAACCUGGAAGCUCGAGUAUACUCCAUACGGGACGAACACACCCAGCAGAGGAAGAGUCUAUUUUAGGGAAUAGUCAUAUGUUUGAAUAAUGUUGGUAUGGAUUUUUGCUUAUUUAAGCACUCUUGUGGGACAUAAUUAUCAGCAUGGAAUAUUUGAGAGCUCUGUAAGGUAAAAAG
Notolabrus celidotus (New Zealand spotty) is the source of this 511-nucleotide long non-coding RNA. RefSeq lists it as uncharacterized. The record is from RefSeq and is a predicted model, not a curated record. Lineage: Eukaryota; Metazoa; Chordata; Actinopteri; Labriformes; Labridae. The transcript is spliced from 3 exons.